Molecule: ribosomal RNA, 484 nt
Filed under: uncultured bacterium
Lineage: Bacteria
Description: partial 16S ribosomal RNA
Rfam family: Bacterial small subunit ribosomal RNA
Source: RNAcentral
AAUGAACGUUGGCGGCGUGGAUUAGGCAUGCAAGUCGUACGGGUCGGUGUAGCAAUACAACGGCAAGUGGCGAAAGGGAGAGUAACACGUAGAUACCUACCCUCUGGUCGGGGAUACCGCGGCAUAACCGCAAGUAAUACCCGAUAAAAUCUCCGGAUCAAAGGUGUGAUUCCGCCGGAGGAUGGGUCUGCGUUCUAUCAGCUUGUUGGUGAGGUAAUGGCUCACCAAGGCUAAGACGGAUACGGGGUGUGAGAGCAUGCCCCCGCUCACUGGGACUGAGACACUGCCCAGACACCUACGGGUGGCUGCAGUCGAGAAUCUUCGGCAAUGGGCGCAAGCCUGACCGAGCGACGCCGCGUGCGGGAUGAAGGCCUUCGGGUUGUAAACCGCUGUCGAGGGGAAUGAAGUGUAGGUGGGUACUCCCAUCUAUUUGACAGAUCCCUGGAGGAAGCAUGGGCUAAGUUCGUGCCAGCAGCCGCGGUAA